UUUAAUAUGGCAGAUUAGUGCAAUGGGUUUAAACUCCAUUUAUAAAGAUACCAACUACUUUUAUUAAAA
This 69-nucleotide transfer RNA is filed under the name Pheidole malinsii. RNAcentral's name for it is "tRNA-Leu". It matches the Rfam family "tRNA". From Rfam's summary of the family: Transfer RNA (tRNA) molecules are approximately 80 nucleotides in length. Their secondary structure includes four short double-helical elements and three loops (D, anti-codon, and T loops). Lineage: Eukaryota; Metazoa; Arthropoda; Insecta; Hymenoptera; Formicidae. The record is from RNAcentral.